AAAGUCGUAACAAGGUUUCCGUAGGUGAACCUGCGGAAGGAUCAUUAAAUAAUUUGAUUUUAGCCCCCUCGUGGGGUUUAUAAUCUAAAUUUACUGUGAACUGUUUUAUUUUUUAGCGUUUUAAGGGAAUGCUCUUUAGGCCAUAGGGAUAGGCCAAUUGAGAUGUUAACCUAGCUAAAGUCAGGCUUAGGCCUGGUAUCCUAAUUAAUUAUUUACCAAAAGAAUUCAGUAUUAUUAUUGUAACAUAAGCGUAAAAAACUUAUAAAACAACUUUUAACAACGGAUCUCUUGGUUCUC
This 297-nucleotide unclassified non-coding RNA is filed under the name Mucoromycotina sp. Its description in RNAcentral is "partial contains small subunit ribosomal RNA, internal transcribed spacer 1, and 5.8S ribosomal RNA". The stretch from base 1 to 47 matches the Rfam family "Eukaryotic small subunit ribosomal RNA", at positions 1785 to 1831 of the family's 1831-position model. The record is from RNAcentral. Lineage: Eukaryota; Fungi; Mucoromycota.